Molecule: long non-coding RNA, 1133 nt
Filed under: Helianthus annuus (common sunflower)
Lineage: Eukaryota; Viridiplantae; Streptophyta; Magnoliopsida; Asterales; Asteraceae
Description: hypothetical non coding rna
Source: RNAcentral
AUGUUGAAUACGAUGAGCAUAUGUAACCUGCUCGGUUGUCUCUAUUCGCAUUGUUUGGGCCCCGCAACUUGCCUAAAGCCUGCUGCAGUGGCUCGAUUUCUUUUCUCUUGCCAUCCAUGAUCGUCCUGAAAUGGUUUUUUUCUUCAACGAGCGCCUUAAGUUGACCAAUUACUUGUGCUCGUUCAUUCUAGAAAAAAAAAAAAACAAAAUUUCAAUCAAAAUUAGUAUUAACAAGUCGAGACAAGAGUGUAUGUAAGCUCAAGAGUAUUGAUAUAACAAAUUACCCUUUUUGCCCUCAGCUUUUCAGUUAUGGGGUCACGGGCCAAAUUAAGCUUUUUAAGAUCCUUAUCAGCCUGAUCAAGUUUAGCUUUCAGGGCCUGGUCUUCAACUGUUCGGUAUUUAACAAAAUAAAGUGAGUGGAACUUUUUUUCUUCGGGCCACUCGUCAACUGCAUCCUUUGGAAAGCUGGGUUCGGGUGCUUUCUCUACACGAACGGAUUCACUCACGUGAGGACCGGAUUCAUUUUCACCAACAUGCCCGUUUUCAACAGACACAACACCAUCAAUAGCCAUGUUGUUUUCAAGAUAAAAAGAACUUCACUACUCUUCAAAUAUUGAAAACCCUGAAGCGGAAAACACACUAAUUAGCCAACAAAAUUUAACCUUUCACCUAUUUUAUCGGAUUGCAAGAAUCAAGCUUUACAGGCUCCAUAAACACCAAUUUGCAAAUACUAACGAAAAUAAUACAAACAAAAACUUCUAGAAAUAAUUUAUCUCGAAUCAAGUAAGGAAUCGGGUCACUUUCACGCAGCCUUCAGCAUAACUUGAUUUCAAUAAAGUGACAUUAUUCAAAUAUGAGUGAUUAAAACCCUAAUUUUUAAUUAAUUAGGGUCAAAAAAAUUAAAAUCACAUAUUUAUACACCUCUUUAAAAUAUUACACACAUCUAGUUCCUCUUUAAGUUCAAUCAGAAAACACUAAUCACCAUAACUUUUCAUAAUCUUCAUCAUACAAAUAACAAAUAAUAAAAAAAAAUAAACACCAAUUUACAAAUAAUAAAAAAUAAAUAAAUACAAACACCUCUUUUAGUUCAAUUAAAGAAUAAUCUUCAUCACACAAAUAAACAGAUAGUAAUC